RNAcentral lists this long non-coding RNA (274 nucleotides) under Selaginella moellendorffii. RNAcentral describes it as "long non-coding RNA (SMOE_LNC001981)". The record is from RNAcentral. Lineage: Eukaryota; Viridiplantae; Streptophyta; Lycopodiopsida; Selaginellales; Selaginellaceae.
CGCAAGCACGUGAUCGAGCCUCGCAAUCCCGAGACGUAUUUCGCGCUGAGAGGCGAUCCAACCAAGAACAAGUCGCGUCCUGAUUUCGUAAAGGACAGGAGACGAGUGAAGCGUGAGUACGACGAGUUCAAAGUCAGGAUCAACGGCCUACCUGAGGCGAUCCGGCGGAGGUCCGAUGCCUACAAUGCGCACGAGGAGAUCAAAGCCAAGCGAGCACAGAUCGAGAGCGGCAGAGACGUGACAGAGCCUCUCAACAUCCCAAAAGCGACCUGGA